UUCUUCUUUCUGUUUUAACUCCUUUUUCAAGCCAGAACGCAGUCUGCAAUGUGUACUGGCUUUUUCUGCGUUCCAGCACCUUCCAAGCUAGCUGGGUCGGUCACCUUUAUUUUCAUAUCGUAAGAUCCUGUGAGGAGAUAAUGAGCCCCAGGGGAGAAGCGAACAGAACGGACAUCACUGGAAUGAGGAUGAUAACUCUGCACCAUUCGCCCACCACGUAUAUCAUACAGCAUACAACUGGAGUCCUCUUGGCCUGUAGCUAAAAGACGACCACUAGGAUCUACAGCUACUGAAGCCACAGCACUGCCUGAAACAAGAAAUUCCACUGAGGAAGAGAGCGAAGAUAUUCCUAAGUCAAAUACCAGUUUUCGAGGAACGGCAGAGGAGGAGCUAAACAGCAUAUAAGCAAACAGUUAUAAAGAGACUAAACACACACUUCACAAAAU
Molecule: long non-coding RNA, 446 nt
Organism: Elgaria multicarinata webbii
Lineage: Eukaryota; Metazoa; Chordata; Lepidosauria; Squamata; Anguidae
Exons: 3
Source: RefSeq, a predicted model, not a curated record